Molecule: ribosomal RNA, 43 nt
Filed under: Cladocopium sp. clade C
Lineage: Eukaryota; Dinophyceae; Suessiales; Symbiodiniaceae
Description: partial 28S ribosomal RNA
Source: RNAcentral
UGGGAUGCAGGUGCAUGCCUCUAGCAUGAAGUCAGACAAGUGA